GUUAAUGUAGCUUAAAAUAAAGCAAAGCACUGAAAAUGCUUAGACGGAUACUAUAUCCCAUAAACA
Molecule: transfer RNA, 66 nt
Filed under: Rhizomys sinensis (Chinese bamboo rat)
Lineage: Eukaryota; Metazoa; Chordata; Mammalia; Rodentia; Spalacidae
Description: tRNA-Phe
Rfam family: tRNA
About the family: Transfer RNA (tRNA) molecules are approximately 80 nucleotides in length. Their secondary structure includes four short double-helical elements and three loops (D, anti-codon, and T loops).
Source: RNAcentral